Long non-coding RNA from Pelmatolapia mariae (spotted tilapia), 1288 nucleotides. RefSeq lists it as uncharacterized. The transcript is spliced from 4 exons. The record is from RefSeq and is a predicted model, not a curated record. NCBI's taxonomy places the organism in Eukaryota, Metazoa, Chordata, Actinopteri, Cichliformes, Cichlidae.
CAGCAACAGGGAUGAGUCAGUGAGUCAGUUGGGCUUGUGAAUCAUGAUUCAUGAGUCAGUAAAGUGAUUCUCGAGUACUGAACGAUUCGUUCAUGAUUCGCGCAUCACUAGUCCGCAUGUUCAUGGCGCCAGCAUUUGUUAUGGAAUAUAUUGAGCAAACCUGGAGAUAUUAUUGUUGUCAUUGCUGUGGAUCUUUACUGACUUGGCCCAUCGGGACCAGCACUCCUGUUGUUGGACAGGAAGACAUCAACUCAGUGACUUGAGAUAUGACUGCACUAUGCUGUUGCUGUGACUCCAGUUAAUUCUACAAGACAUGCUGUGACACCAGGAGAGAUGAGUCCUCCGUCACAGAUGGUGUGGUCAGUGAAGGUGGUCACCUGCAGGAUCAAGCUCAUUGCAUCUCCAACCCACAUCCACUGCCACUGUACUUAAGGGAAGUUAAAGACUUUCUUCUGCACCUACAUUUGAAUCACCUCGAUCCAUGACAGUCAUUCAGGCAGUAAUGCCUGGACUGGAAACAAGCCAUCCUUAAAAUAUUACAACAUUCCAGCUCAUGUGUUGGAAUGAAAAACGAAUGUGUUGUUUAAAUUAGAGACUGCACUUGUGACAGAACAAUAAAUAUUUUAUGUUGAUUAUAUAAAUAAUGUAAGUACAAAACAAACUUGUGGUAGGCCUAAACUUAUUUUCAGAAUAAUUACAUCUGAGACUUUGUUUCGUUGUAACAGUGAUGGCAAUAUAAUUUUUAUUCAGCAGAACAGUGUCCAGUAUGUUGGCUGUUGUACUUUGUUGUGUUUGAAAAUAAAAGUUGUGCUCAUUUUAACAUCAUUACAAAAAUUGUUGUUAAUUAUUUUUAAUCAUAUUCAUGGUACCACAAAUUGUUUUUUCAUUUAGUUGAACUUGAAAUGUUUGUCAGUAGGUAAAAAAUUAGUAUUGUCAGAAAGUCAGAAAUAUCAAGUUAUUCUUAAUACUGCAGACUUGCAAUGUAUAAGUUGUCCUAACAGUCAUCCUAAGUAAGCUUUACUUAGUUUUUUUGAGGCAACGAGUUUCCAUAAUUUUUUUGAGUUCUGGGAACUAAUUAGAUUUUACAGUGUAGUCUGUCACCUCAAAACAUCCCUGAAGUUCAGCUAAGGCCUCCUAAGACAGUUGAGUCUGUUCAUUUUUUGCAACUUUCAGAGAGUAUUCUUUUAAACAAUCAUCUUCAUUUUUCAUUUUUCCUAUUUCCUGAUAUUAAACCUGUGAGGUUUGUUGUUCCAGUUUAACACUGACCUUUAAUUUUGAAAAUUUUACU